Molecule: ribosomal RNA, 731 nt
Filed under: uncultured bacterium
Lineage: Bacteria
Description: bacterial SSU rRNA
Rfam family: Bacterial small subunit ribosomal RNA
Source: RNAcentral
UUGCUCUUAUGGGUGGCGAGUGGCCGUCAGGGGAGGAAUACAUCGGAAUCUACUUUUUCGUGGGGUUUUACGUAGGGAAACUUACGCUAAUACCGCAUACGACCUACGGGUGAAAGCAGGGGAUCUUCGGACCUUGCGCGAUUGAAUGAGCCGAUGUCGGAUUAGCUAGUUGGCGGGGUAAAGGCCCACCAAGGCGACGAUCCGUAGCUGGUCUGAGAGGAUGAUCAGCCACACUGGAACUGAGACACGGUCCAGACUCCUACGGGAGGCAGCAGUGGGGAAUAUUGGACAAUGGGCGCAAGCCUGAUCCAGCCAUACCGCGUGGGUGAAGAAGGCCUUCGGGUUGUAAAGCCCUUUUGUUGGGAAAGAAAUCCAGCCGGCUAAUACCUGGUUGGGAUGACGGUACCCAAAGAAUAAGCACCGGCUAACUUCGUGCCAGCAGCCGCGGUAAUACGAAGGGUGCAAGCGUUACUCGGAAUUACUGGGCGUAAAGCGUGCGUAGGUGGUUGUUUAAGUCUGUUGUGAAAGCCCUGGGCUCAACCUGGGAACUGCAGUGGAAACUGGACAACUAGAGUGUGGUAGAGGGUAGCGGAAUUCCCGGUGUAGCAGUGAAAUGCGUAGAGAUCGGGAGGAACAUCCAUGGCGAAGGCAGCUACCUGGACCAACACUGACACUGAGGCACGAAAGCGUGGGGAGCAAACAGGAUUAGAAUACCCUGGUAGUCCACGCCC